GUAUACCACAGGGGGAGCACAUGUGCUGAGAUGAACUCAUUGUUAGUUCGGACCCUUUGAACCUGUUAGUUAAUGCUAGCGUAGGGAUUGUGGCGUAGAUCUUAC
RNAcentral lists this non-coding RNA (105 nucleotides) under Priestia koreensis. RNAcentral's name for it is "Bacillus koreensis TPP sequence". It matches the Rfam family "TPP riboswitch aptamer (THI element)". Rfam says of the family: Vitamin B(1) in its active form thiamin pyrophosphate (TPP) is an essential coenzyme that is synthesised by coupling of pyrimidine and thiazole moieties in bacteria. The previously detected thiamin-regulatory element, thi box was extended, resulting in a new, highly conserved RNA secondary structure, the THI element, which is widely distributed in eubacteria and also occurs in some archaea. The record is from Rfam by way of RNAcentral. Lineage: Bacteria; Bacillati; Bacillota; Bacilli; Caryophanales; Bacillaceae.